CAAGUCGAACGGCAGCACGGGAGCAAUCCUGGUGGCGAGUGGCGAACGGGUGAGUAAUAUAUCGGAACGUGCCCAGUCGUGGGGGAUAACGCAGCGAAAGCUGUGCUAAUACCGCAUACGAUCUAUGGAUGAAAGCGGGGGAUCGCAAGACCUCGCGCGAUUGGAGCGGCCGAUAUCAGAUUAGCUAGUUGGUGGGGUAAAAGCCCACCAAGGCGACGAUCUGUAGCUGGUCUGAGAGGACGACCAGCCACACUGGAACUGAGACACGGUCCAGACUCCUACGGGAGGCAGCAGUGGGGAAUUUUGGACAAUGGGCGCAAGCCUGAUCCAGCAAUGCCGCGUGCAGGAUGAAGGCCUUCGGGUUGUAAACUGCUUUUGUACGGAACGAAACGGCGAGCUCUAAUAAAGCUUGCUAAUGACGGUACCGUAAGAAUAAGCACCGGCUAACUACGUGCCAGCAGCCGCGGUAAUACGUAGGGUGCAAGCGUUAAUCGGAAUUACUGGGCGUAAAGCGUGCGCAGGCGGUUAUAUAAGACAGAUGUGAAAUCCCCGGGCUCAACCUGGGACCUGCAUUUGUGACUGUAUAGCUAGAGUACGGUAGAGGGGGAUGGAAUUCCGCGUGUAGCAGUGAAAUGCGUAGAUAUGCGGAGGAACACCGAUGGCGAAGGCAAUCCCCUGGACCUGUACUGACGCUCAUGCACGAAAGCGUGGGGAGCAAACAGGAUUAGAUACCCUGGUAGUCCACGCCCUAAACGAUGUCAACUGGUUGUUGGGUCUUCACUGACUCAGUAACGAAGCUAACGCG
Molecule: ribosomal RNA, 805 nt
Filed under: bacterium SCGC AAA018-A16
Lineage: Bacteria
Description: SSU rRNA
Rfam family: Bacterial small subunit ribosomal RNA
Source: RNAcentral